CUCUAAACCAACCACAUCCACCAGGUUUCCAAAGGAGGUUGCUCUUAGUAAUGUUCUCUUUCUCUGCUGCACUAUUGGAGUGCCUAAGACGUUGUUAAGGCCGUACUCAUCUCGUCUGUUCUUGAUCUCAAUAACUCUUCCCUUGAGUGACUGGAUCUCUUUUCCGAUACUAUAAAAAUUGGAUUCUUUCUUGCACAUGCAGAUUAAGCUCCGCAUACGGUCUAGAACACCUGCUUCCUGAUCAGAAUGUUCUUCUUGGAGAGCACUGAACCUCUCCAGAAGGAUUACAGCAUCAUUUGCAACCUCUUUGAUGUUUUCUAUCCAUUGGCGGAUCAGGUAACUCAAUUCUUGUUUAGCUUCCGCAUCUCUGACGGAAGAUUGGAGGUAGGCCAAUUCAUCUUUGAGCCACCUUAUACCAUCUUUUACUCCUCUCCUAGUGUUAAUUCCAUGAGUAAGAAAAUCAUCAAGUUUUCCAAUGGCAAACGAUACAGUUGCAUCAACCAUUCUUUUUGGCUAAAGUGUAGAUGAGAAUUCAAAAGUCAACAAGUAUUUUGCAGCUCUGAGAUUAUUGAAAGUAGGGACUCAGAAGCACAGAUUUCGCAGAAGAAAAGCCUUGGAUGAUUACUUAUGUAAAUUGUUUUCAUGAAAACAUUGAGACCACAGACCCGUUUUUUACCUGUCUUGCUUAAAUUAAUUUUCAAAAUCACAUAUUUUCGGAAAAAAUAUGCAAAGAAUGAAUAUCAAACACCUAUUAAAUAUAUUAUUUUCUAAAAAAUAAUAUGUAAAUGUGAACUUUUUCCCGAGAUAAAUCCUUAUUUCUCUAAAAUAAGUAGGGCAGAACAUGCUCUAUAACAGCCAUACAAAUCACAUCACAGAAGACUGGCAAGUCCUUUUCUUUUAGCUCUAUGUAAAUUGUAUAUUUCUGAAGAAAUUUCAUGUGAAUAUCCUGUGGCAGAUUGUCGACAUAGAAGGUCAACUGUGGCAAAGAAAAAUAUACAUUUAGUUUGGUAUCACUAGGAAAGCAUCUUCUACAUUGAUAUAUUAUUAUCUUCAGAUGUUACAUAAUCUUUUAAGUACAAAUUCUAUUGCAUGUAGUUGAGAUUUUUUAUCCAGGAUAAGAGAAGUAAAUUACCACCAAAUGCUUCUGCUGUGACCGGAGCUAAAUUGAAAUAUAGACAACAAUUAGGUAUCAAAUUUAAUUUUAGACAUUUCUGCUGAUGUUAAAAAAAAAAUAGAGGCACAAGAAACAUUAAUGUGGGCACCUGCCACUUCUACUAGCAUAACUUGUGGAUCUGGGGACCUGAAACAAUGAUAACUAAGAAAUGUAUAUCAAUUGAAGCUGUUAAGCUUGAGCCUAAGAAUCUUGUUACUUAAGCAGUAAAAGCAUAAGCAUAAGAAUAUUCUAGUUAUCUGUCCCUGUGUCUGUGUGCUCUUCUAAUAUUUAACAUAGCUAAUACAACUCAAAGUAUAAAAAGUGAGGUUUAUUUAAACAAAGCAUAUAUUUCUUUGUUGUUUAAUAAAUUCCACAGUGAUCCAUAUAAACUGAAACAUAAAAUUUUAAAAUAAUGACACGAGGACAACAGCAUUACUCCUUAUUAAACAGAAAAUACAAACUACAAUUAGGACUCAGACAUUCAUCAGUAAUUAUUUUCAGACAUAAAUUUGACAAUUCCUGUUCAUCUGAUCUGCUGGUUUGCAUUGUCUGCAGACUGCUGGACUGAAGCUUGUGACAGAAACAUCGCAGUUGCGGGUGUCAUAGUUUGAUACUGAGGAGGUGGAGGCAGCUGAGAAGCUG
This 1795-nucleotide long non-coding RNA is filed under the name Daucus carota (carrot). Its description in RNAcentral is "long non-coding RNA (DCAR_LNC002936)". Lineage: Eukaryota; Viridiplantae; Streptophyta; Magnoliopsida; Apiales; Apiaceae. The record is from RNAcentral.